CGGCAUGCCUAACACAUGCAAGUCGAACGGCUCUUCGGAGCAGUGGCGCACGGGUGAGUAACGCGUGGGAAUCUACCCUGAGGUUCGGAAUAACGGUUGGAAACGACCGCUAAUACCGGAUGUGCCCUAUGGGGGCGAAGGGCUUGCCGCCUUGGGAGGAGCCCGCGUCCGAUUAGCUUGUUGGUGGGGUAAUGGCCUACCAAGGCGACGAUCGGUAGCUGGUCUGAGAGGAUGAUCAGCCACACUGGGACUGAGACACGGCCCAGACUCC
RNAcentral lists this ribosomal RNA (271 nucleotides) under uncultured bacterium. RNAcentral's name for it is "partial 16S ribosomal RNA". It matches the Rfam family "Bacterial small subunit ribosomal RNA", at positions 40 to 339 of the family's 1533-position model. The record is from RNAcentral.